UUUCUCUUCUCUUCUUCUUGCAGAUGUGGGUUUCUAUUUUUUUUUUUUUUGGAUUUUCUUCCUUCUUCUUCUUAUUCUUCUUCUUCUGGGUCGCUGGGGGGAGGAGGGACAAUUUUUUUUUCUUUUUCUUUCUUCCUCCCUCUUCUUCUUCUUCUUGCAGAUGUGGGUUUCAAAUUUGUUUUUUUUGUUGAGAAAAUUCAGGUUUUUUAAAAAAAAUUAAAAAAUUAUUUUAUUUGACACAUGGUAGACAUUUGGCAGCCACGUGGCAUAUAUGUGGUAGCCAUGUCAGCAUUUAACAGAUUAAUGGAUGAAAAAUGUAACAGAUGUAUCAUUUUGAAAUAAAAUAGUAUUUAAGGUAUGAAAGUAAAAUGUUUUAAAGAUAUUGUAAGGAAUUAAAAUAGACCCCAAACCUAAGGUAUGAAAGUGUAAUUUACCCUAUGAUCAAUGUCUGAGUGCCGGUUAAUUGAUUAUAAUCUUCGUAUCAUCUUCCAAUUUCUAGUUUCUUUCUUACUUAACCAGUAGUCACAUCGACUUUUUGAGGACUUUGGAACCGUAUGAGUUCAGUUGUUGUGUGAAGAAUGACUGACUAAUUCUCCUUUCAAGGCUAACUUGUCAUGGAGUGAAAACUUGUAUUCCCAGAACCUUCAGAAGUUGAAACCUGAUCAGUGUCGUCGAGACUAUUUGAUGGGGCAGCUUCGUGGCAUGUGACAUUCGCAUUCUGAGUCUUCAACAGGUUACUACCUUUUAAUUUGUUGUUGCAGAUCAAACAUCUUCUUGAGCUGCUUCCAUUGUUCUUCAAUUCGUAAAUGUAACUUUUGUUGAAUCAGCACAUAGAAAUAGUUGAAUAAAUUUGUUAUGAAAAUUGGAGUAUUUCAAGAAUGAUUUACUAAUGCUACUAGAAAUAUUUCGAAAUAAUAUAUAUAUAUGGCCCUGUAUACAAGGGGAUCUUUUUUUUUUUCAAAAAGUAGGGAUUAGCAGGUUCAGUGCACAUUGAACUUCAAUGAUCUGGACUAUUUAUUUUAUAAAUCUUGAUUCAUAGAUCAUCUUUACAAAAAUUCAAUUCAAUCCGAAACCAUUUGCCUAUUUAAUUUUUAAGAUAAAAUUUCAUUGUUUCUUAUAUAAUAAAGUAUUUGUUAAUUUUUUUUAACUCAAUUAGAUGUUUUA
This 1164-nucleotide long non-coding RNA is filed under the name Malus domestica (apple). RNAcentral describes it as "long non-coding RNA (MDOM_LNC017981)". The record is from RNAcentral. Lineage: Eukaryota; Viridiplantae; Streptophyta; Magnoliopsida; Rosales; Rosaceae.